Molecule: RNA transcript, 8394 nt
Organism: Oreochromis niloticus (Nile tilapia)
Lineage: Eukaryota; Metazoa; Chordata; Actinopteri; Cichliformes; Cichlidae
Exons: 3
Source: RefSeq, a predicted model, not a curated record
UUCUGUGACGCCCACAAGUGUAUGGUCACAAUUAUAUUUUUUUUUGUGAAUUGUUUUGAUGUAAAAGACCUGGUUUUAUGGUGGUAUUGCACUUUUCAUUUAGAGUUAUGAACAAUGUAAUUGCGUGGCAUUGCCACAAGGGGGAGAUAGCGCUGACUGCGAUAGGUCGUUGCAACGCUUCUGUGCCUCAGACGAGGAAGAGCCUGCAGACCGAACGCAACUCAUGUCUCCUGUCUCUGCUUUUCUGUUAAAAAUACAGGUUAGUAGUUCAAGUUUGCUCAUGGCAAUGUACAUAUAAAGGCAAGAAACCUUUUUCUGUCUUUGGUUAAAGACCGCAAAUGUUGUGAGAGAGUGUGUUUUCACCAACUGAGAGUAUGCUAACUAUACCGCCAUUUGUAAUGGAAGCCGCUAUUUCACUCGUAGUCUAAAUAGGCAGCUGGUCUUAUUACCCGUUUUAUUUUGUGACAAAUGCAGCUCUUGGACACUUCUUUUAUCCUGACAUUAUUUGAAGUUAUAGUUGAUUAGAACCUACCCAGUUCUUAUGUGUCAAAUGUAAAUAGUCUGAUGUAUACUGUUGUGGAUGAUUGUAAACUGUUUGUGAGCAGUGAUAGCAUAUUUUUGUUUAUUGGUUACUAAUGUAAUAUAUUGUUUGAAUCUGUUAAAGUAUAAAGAAUGCAUAAUGGUAUAUAAGCGGGUUAAUUGCAGUGUUAAUGGUGCUGCACAGAAAUGUUUUUGAUGCUGAACGGCACUAGAAUGUGGUUACAGAUUUAUUGUAAAUAAGGACACUCAUACAGUGAUUAUUUUGUAAGUUUAUUCUUGCGAGAGUGCAAGGUAACCAAAAGAGUUUGAGCUAUGGACUUAAUUGAAUGUGUUUUUGUUGUUAAAAGAGAAAUGUGUGAGUCUGAACGAAAAGAAAAGUGACUGUUUAAUUCUGUUAAUAAAUCAGACGAGGAAGAGCCUGCAGACCGAACGCAACUCAUGUCUCCUGUCUCUGCUUUUCUGUUAAAAAUACAGUUUCAAAACAGGCCCAUCGAAGGCCUGUAACAUAAUUUUGGUGGCCCGUACGGGGAUCAGCAUGCUACGAGGGCGACUGCUGAUCCUUUAAUCAACGAACCAGAGACAGCCAUCGCAGGGCAGGCGUGUUGGAACAGCAGACGUGCAACUGAGGCAGCAGCGGGACCUGUGUCGAGGAGGGGAACCCCUGCUGGAGAGGUGACGGGCUGCGUGUUUGAGCUGACUGCACUGUGAAGAGUUGCUAGCCAAAGAACACACAAUGGAGGACAGUGAAAGAAAAGAACUGGCUUGGCAGAUCAGAAAGAGUCUUUAUGCACUGACAGCAGAGGAACUCUUCCAGAUUGCUACAAACAUCACACCAGUACCUGAUGUGGACCCUGCAAGUGUAAGACGUGGUGAUGAGGAAAGUUGUUUUGAUUAUAUAUGUGCUUAUCUGCGCUGUAAGACAUUGCUUGACUUAGAGGAUCAGGGGUUUUCACACCUACUGUUGUUGAAAGAUGCUAUUAUUCAUCUCAUUGAUAGUCGUACCGCUGAAGUAUCUCACCCUGUAGUCUCAGAGGAAAAUGUUGUUACUCUCACAACACUUAAGCACCCUGAACAGAGUGAUGUACUUACCUCAGCUAUAUUGCCUCUUGAGUCUACUAAUCCACAAGUAACAGAGUAUGAAAUGCUAAAGGCUAACUACGAGGCACUUGGUAAAAAGUUAGCAGAUUUACAAGUGACAACACAAGACACACCCACCCCCACUAUUACACAGUCACUUCAGCCUCGAGCUGAGAGCGUGACAAACAGCCACUCCACCACAGACACGCGACACUCUAGGCCUGAUCACAUGGUUUCCCUAAGAGACCUGCCAUUUUUGCAACGCAGAGAGUUUAAAGUACAUGGGGGUCAGGUUGGGGACAUUGCAUCUGACAUUAGCUACCAUGGACUGUGUAAGCAGAUUGAGGAGGGGCUCAAGGUGAAACACACAGAGGGAGAGAUCAUCCAAGGUGUGCUCCGUAUUAUCAAGCCCGGACAGUUUAAGGACAUGUUGAUCAGUAAAGAUGACUUGACCCUCAUUGAACUCAAAAGCUUGCUACGUUCACACCUGAGUGAGAAGAGUGGGAGUGAGUUAUUUCAGGAAUUGUUGAGCACUAAGCAACAUGACCAUGAAACUCCACAACAGUUCCUCUACAGGAUGAUUGGACUGAAGCAGAAAGUCAUGUUUGCAUCCAGGCAGGAUAACAUGGACGUUGCGUAUGAGGCACGUACGAUUCAAAAUGUGUUUCUACGCACCAUUCAUCAAGGUCUUCUGCCAAAAUAUAGUGACAUUCGUAAUGAACUCAAGCCACUACUAUCAGACUACAGUGUAUCAGAUGAAGCCUUGAUAAGGCAAGUGAACAAAGUGUCAAGUGAAGAGAGUGAGCGACAGCGAAGACUGGGAUAUUCCACUCGACAAAAGGUAACACAUGCUCAUACUGCUCUACUUGAACCUGCUAAAGAUACUGAAAUGACUGACUGUAAAUCUAAGAGUAAGAAUAAAGUCAUAGAAGAGCUGGCUGCAAAGGUGGAAACCCUGACCAAAGUGGUGGAGUCUCUCACAGCCAGUCAGGCUCGUGAACCCACUUGUCAGUGUGCACACCCAAAGCAGAAGCCCAGACAAACUGCAAAACAGUACGGCUGUCCCAAGUGUAUUGAAAGUGGGGCUGCUUCAUGCACUCAUUGUUUUAUCUGUGGGGAGACAGGUCACAGGGCAGUGGGAUGUCUCAAACGAAGCCAACCCAGAAACUCUAGUUGGCCUCCUGCUGAUACACACACUCCCAGAACCAGUGGACAGCCAGACCCAAAAUCACCAGGUAUGUGCUCAGAAGAGUUUGCCCAUGUCAGGAGUAGUUGGGCGACACCUCCAACGAAAAAUGCAGUCACAGGGGCAAGUGAGAGAGUGGCACAGCUUGUUGGAAAAAAAUGUAAAAUCAAGUGUUACAUUCAUAGCUUUGCAGUGGACUGUUUAUUGGACACAGGUGCACAAGUGAGUCUCAUUGAUCGCCAGUGGGCAAAAACCUACCUCUCUGACCACAAACUCCGGCCACUGACAGAACUUAUUGGAGAUAAAGCUCUUAGUGUGCUUGGUGUUAAUGGCCAGCCAUUACCCUACGACGGCUGGGUGGGCGUGAUGGUGAGUCUCCCAGAGAAUAGUGACCCAAACUUGACUGUACAAGUCCCCUUUUUAGUAAGCAGUGUGCCCAUGGACUGCCCCCUGAUUGGUUUCAAUGUAAUUGAACAGCUGAUACUGGGGCCAAAUGCUAGUACAAACCUCAUACCCACCAUUGUGAGCCUCCUGCGCAGCGCAAUGAACCUCCAGGACGACACAGCAACGGCACUGGUCAACUUCAUUCAGACCAAGCUUACCAGUGAUAACGGGGUCAGCCAGAGUGUCCUAAAAGUGGGCCUGCAUGAUGUAGUAAUCCCAGCUGGUCAAGUUAAGUAUGUUAAGUGUAAAGUCUCCUCUACAGUUGACAUGUCCAACCCCCUCGUGCUCUUUGAACCAACUGAGAGCAACCCACAACUGCAACAGCUUGAUGUUGGCAACAGCCUCCUCACAGUUUGUGAUGCCAGAGUCCCAUAUGUCAAAGUACCUAUUGGCAACCACACAAAGCAUGAUGUGACCCUCACCGGCAGAGCAGCCCUUGGAACUAUUGAACCAAUAGCAGGAGUCGUACAAACUGACUUACCAAACCUCGGUGAGCCCAAAGUGACUCAAGAUGUCGACUCUGAUGUAUCUCAAAUACAGCAGCAGUGCAGUGAAGAUCAAGCAACGCAGGAAUGGGAUCCACCUGUUGACGUUAGCCACCUGACUGAAGACCAACAAACUGUUGCCAAGAAAAUGUUAAGGGAAGAGUCAGGGGCUUUUGCACGUGAUGAAAGCGACAUGGGGUGCAUUCCCAACUUGGAAAUGACAAUAACACUCAAAGACACAACUCCAAUUCAGAAAUCAUACACCUCAAUUCCAAAACCCCUCUAUAAGGAGGUUAAAGAGUAUAUUGAGGACCUCCUAGCAAGAGGAUGGAUUGUAAAGUCUAGAUCUCCUUACUCUGCGCCAAUAGUUUGUGUGCGUAAAAAGGAUGGCUCCCUAAGGCUCUGUAUAGACUACCGUCUCCUGAACCAACGCACAGUACCUGAUCGCCACCCAUUACCAAGAAUCCAGGACCUCAUUGACACCUUGGGAGGUUACAACUGGUUCUCCAUUUUGGACCAGGGAAAAGCCUAUCACCAGGGCUUUAUAGCAGAAGGAUCACGUCAUCUGACUGCAUUCAUCACCCCCUGGGGCCUUUAUGAAUGGGUGCGAAUUCCCUUCGGCCUUACCAACGCACCUGCUGCAUUCCAACGCAGUAUGGAAGAAAUGCUGGCUCCCCUUCGGGAUGAGUGCUGCAUCCCAUACUUGGAUGACAUCUUGUGCUACGCCAAGACUUUUGAGGAACAUGUGGAAGGGCUGAGGAAAGUCUUGAGAGCCCUGCAGAACUACGGAGUCAAACUCCGGCCGACAAAAUGUGACCUAUUUAAAAGAGAAGUGAGGUAUGUUGGGCGCUUAGUGUCAGCUGAAGGAGUACGCAUCGAUCCAAAAGAUCUCGAGGCGGUGUACGCCCUGAAAAAGGAGACACCUGCCACAGUGGGAGAUGUGAGGAGGAUCGCUGGGUUCCUGAGUUACUAUCGCUCAUAUAUCCAGGAUUUCUCGAGAAUAGCAAAACCCAUCUAUGAGCUUUUGCAACCCAAGAAAACCAAAGAGGAGCAUCUUCUGGGGAAGGUUACAGGACAGAAGGGGAAAGGUGCACAGUUACCAUCCAAAACACCAGUUGAGUGGACCGAGAAGCACCAGGGCGCCCUGUGUAAGUUGAUUGAUAUGUUGGUAAACCCCCCUGUACUUGCCUACCCGGAUUUUGAGCUUCCCUUCGUCCUUCAUACAGACGCAUCUGAUAAGGGACUUGGAGCCGUUCUCUACCAACAUCAGAAUGGGAAGCUCAGAGUGAUUGGAUACGGCUCCCGAACACUGACACCGGCUGAAAAGAAUUACAGACUCCACUCGGGCAAGCUUGAGUUUCUCGCCCUCAAGUGGGCUGUCUGCGAGAAGUUCAGGGAUUACUUGUCCUAUGCCCCGCAUUUUACCAUCUACACAGACAACAAUCCCUUAACUUAUGUCAUGAGUACCGCCAAGUUGAAUGCGGUCGGGUUCAGAUGGGUGGGAGAACUAUCAGAUUUCAGGUUUGAUAUAAGGUACAGACCUGGCAAAGUAAAUGUUGACGCAGACACCCUGUCGAGGAGUCCCCUUGACAUUGACAGAUACGUCACUGAAUGUACAAAAGAGCUCUCCAAAGAAGCUGUUGCCGCUACUUGGGAGGGAUGUGGAGCAGGCAAGCAUGGAGAUGUUGCAUGGAUCGCUGCUCUGGCUCUAGCACAAGGUGACCAGCUUGAACCAGUAAUCCGAGAAAUGGUCACACCCAUCAAUCUGGAUGAACUACAAAGGGCUCAAAGAGCAGACCCUGCGAUUGGUGAGAUCAUGAAAAUGAAAGACUCAGAUCAAAAGCUGACAGAUGACGUGAGGCGGAAUGUGAGAGGUCCUGCCAGGAAAAUGAUGCAUGAGUGGACAAAGCUGAGCUUAGAAGAUGGAGUUCUGUAUCGUAAGACUGCAGAAAAGCGCCAACUAGUCUUACCAGCCAGCUUCAAAUCCCUGGUCCUGAAAUAUCUGCAUGAUGACAUGGGGCAUGUCGGGGUAGAAAGAGUUCUCAGCCUAGCGAGACAACGGUUCUACUGGCCGUACAUGAGGCGAGACAUCGAAGCCUAUGUCACCCGGCAGUGCCCGUGCAUCAAACAAAAGAAACCGGUGACACAUGUCCGAGCUCCCAUGUCCAGCAUUACCACAAGCUCACCAAUGGAAUUGGUUUCAGUUGAUUACCUCCACUUAGAGCCAAGCAGGGGCGGAUACCAGUAUAUCCUAGUUGUGGUAGACCACUUUACUCGGUAUGCCCAGGCCUAUCCAACCCGCAACAAGAGUGGCAAAACUGCAGCUGAAAGGAUUUUCAGUGAUUAUAUCCCCAGAUUUGGCUACCCUUUAAGGCUGCACCAUGAUCAGGGACGGGAGUUCGAGAACGAGCUCUUCCGGACUCUGCAACAGUUGAGCAAUGUGGGGCACUCUCGAACAACCCCAUACCACCCUCAGGGCAACCCAGCUGAACGCUUUAAUCGUACCAUCUUGCAGAUGCUGAGGACCCUGGGUGAAGAGAAAAAAGAAAGAUGGAGAGAGUAUCUCCCACAGAUGGUUCAUGCGUACAAUUGUACGCGCCAUGAAGCAACGGGUUACUCACCAUUCUUUCUGCUUUUUGGUCGACAUCCACGAAUGCCAGUAGACCUCCUGUUCAAGUUGGUUACUGAUGGAGAACCGCAAACUGCAAGAGGUUAUGUUGAGAAAUGGAAAGAACGAAUGACUGAAGCUUACAGGAUUGCGUCUGAAAACAGCCAAAAGUCAAGUGAUCGUGGGAAGAAACACUAUGACCGACACUUGAAAGGAGUGGUACUCCAACCUGGUGACAGAGUACUAGUGCGGAACCUGACUGAGAGGGGUGGUCCUGGCAAGUUAAGGUCCUACUGGGAGAACACCAUUUAUGUGGUGAAGGAACAGAUCAAUGACAGCCCAGUCUACAGAGUGGCCUCAGAGGCAAAUGGGAAAAGAGUGCGUGUUCUGCAUCGCAAUCUAUUGCAUCUUGUCAAUGAGCUUCCUGUGGACUUGCCUGCUGUAAAUAAAGGGGACGGGCCAUCUGCCGUCAAGGAAAAGAAACCAAAACCAGCUCAAAGAGAGACAGAGUUUCAACCCCACUCUGACACAAGUUCCGAUGAGGAUGAGAGUUCAAUGUAUUAUGAGUUGAGGUAUGAUUUGAGGAGUGGAACCAAAGAGGAUGCUCUACAUACCUAUAACCAUACUGAUGGACCCUCAAGGGGAACAGCUGAGUUCAGCAGAGUGGUUAACUGUAGAGCACCUCAGACGACAGAAGCAACAGUAUUGGGGGAACGAACAGCAACAGAUGAAUUGAGGGAAACAGGAAUGGAACAAGAUGGUGGACACCAAAACACUGAACUUGACAAUGACAUGGGAGAGGAGGAACAUGAGGUGGUACGGGAAUCAGGAGUCACCGAAGUGCCUUUCACAGUCGACGGGGGAGAAGUUGGACUGCCGCUUUCAGAAAGGGCACGGUAUACACCCGAUGUGACCCCGCCGACAAAUGAAUCAGUUCUAAGAAGGUCUACUAGAGAACGACGACCUGCUACACAUUUCACAUAUGACACCCUUGGCCAGCCCUCUCUCCGGGUGCACCCAUCAGUCAGUUGUGCUGAAGUGCACGAGUCUCCAAACACAACACACUACACCAUGCCAUCAUAUCCCCUGUUACCUUACUUCCCCCUAGUGCCAUAUCAAAUUCCGACAUCUCACUGGGCACACCCAGGCACCUUCCCUGUAUAUUAUAACCGCCCAAUCUAUACAUGUUAGUAAACAAGGAAUGUGGGUAUGUGGGAAGGGAAUGUGAUUUGAAUUGUUUGAAUAAUGAGUAUAAUGAAUACUAAAGGGUAAAAGGUUAAAUGUCAGGAGCCAUUUUCUUUUUGUUGGGGAGUGUGUGACGCCCACAAGUGUAUGGUCACAAUUAUAUUUUUUUUUGUGAAUUGUUUUGAUGUAAAAGACCUGGUUUUAUGGUGGUAUUGCACUUUUCAUUUAGAGUUAUGAACAAUGUAAUUGCGUGGCAUUGCCACAAGGGGGAGAUAGCGCUGACUGCGAUAGGUCGUUGCAACGCUUCUGUGCCUCAGACGAGGAAGAGCCUGCAGACCGAACGCAACUCAUGUCUCCUGUCUCUGCUUUUCUGUUAAAAAUACAGGUUUUACAGCUAGACCAGCUUUAAUGGCCUGGCGGCUGUACAUGCCCGUGGAGGCCGAUGAUUAUGUGCACAUGGCAAAGCACCGCCGUGCACUUUAUGUUGCCAGCUCCCAAAUCUGAGCCGCUGCUGCUGAGAGCUCUGGCAGGUCAAAAGGAAGUGACAGUGUCGUGGGGAAUGCCUGGCCAGUGACUAUAAAAUAGUCAGGGAGGUGAAGAAUAUCACUUUUCCCUUUUGGAGCUGAUUGGUAAUACAUUCUCGGAUAGGCUGGGCAGGAAGCCAGGCUGUCCCAGAGACGGCUAAUUGCAGACUAACGCAUCGACUCCAAAACCACAGGUCGAGCUGCAGCCCACAGGACCCCACUGAGCUGCCCAGUUCAACGCCUGCCCAUCACUCAGGCAGACAGUGUCUGAUGAGACACGACAUCGACCUGGCACGCUCAACGUGUUUGCAUUUCUCACAGCAGACAGCCAGGCAGGCAGGCAGG